RNAcentral lists this ribosomal RNA (253 nucleotides) under uncultured bacterium. RNAcentral's name for it is "partial 16S ribosomal RNA". It matches the Rfam family "Bacterial small subunit ribosomal RNA", at positions 524 to 776 of the family's 1533-position model. The record is from RNAcentral.
UACGAAGGGGGCUAGCGUUGUUCGGAUUUACUGGGCGUAAAGCGCACGUAGGCGGAUUGUUAAGUCGGGGGUGAAAUCCUGGAGCUCAACUCCAGAAUUGCCUUCGAUACUGGCUUUCUAGAGGCUGGAAGAGGUUAGUGGAAUUCCCAGUGUAGAGGUGAAAUUCGUAGAUAUUGGGAAGAACACCAGUGGCGAAGGCGGCUAACUGGGACGUUACUGACGCUGAGACGCGAAAGCGUGGGGAGCAAACAGG